Aotus nancymaae (Ma's night monkey) is the source of this 151-nucleotide small nuclear RNA. Its record names the gene U2. It matches the Rfam family "U2 spliceosomal RNA". From Rfam's summary of the family: U2 is a small nuclear RNA (snRNA) component of the spliceosome (involved in pre-mRNA splicing). Complementary binding between U2 snRNA (in an area lying towards the 5' end but 3' to hairpin I) and the branchpoint sequence (BPS) of the intron results the bulging out of an unpaired adenosine, on the BPS, which initiates a nucleophilic attack at the intronic 5' splice site, thus starting the first of two transesterification reactions that mediate splicing. The record is from Ensembl. NCBI's taxonomy places the organism in Eukaryota, Metazoa, Chordata, Mammalia, Primates, Aotidae.
AUCACUUCUCAGCCUUUUGGCUAAGAUCAAGUGUAGUAUCUGUUCCUAUCAGUUUUAAGUGCCUUAAUUUCUCUUCCACAGGGGGUUUUACUGGAUACAGAAUUCUUAUUAGCUUUCGUUUUUCAGCACUUUGAAUAUGCCACUACUGCCU